Molecule: ribosomal RNA, 499 nt
Filed under: uncultured bacterium
Lineage: Bacteria
Description: bacterial SSU rRNA
Rfam family: Bacterial small subunit ribosomal RNA
Source: RNAcentral
UGAACGCUAGCGACAGGCUUAACACAUGCAAGUCGAGGGGCGAUCACGGGAGUAGCAAUACAACUGGUGGCGACCGGCGCACGGGUGAGUAACGCGUAUGCAACCUACCUAUCAGAGGGGAAUAACCCGGCGAAAGUCGGACUAAUACCGCAUAAAACAGGGGCACCGCAUGGUGAUAUUUGUUAAAGAAAUUCGCUGACAGAUGGGCAUGCGUUCCAUUAGGUAGUUGGUGAGGUAACGGCUCACCAAGCCGACGAUGGAUAGGGGAACUGAGAGGUUGGUCCCCCACACUGGUACUGAGACACGGACCAGACUCCUACGGGAGGCAGCAGUGAGGAAUAUUGGUCAAUGGGCGGGAGCCUGAACCAGCCAAGUCCGCGUGAAGGAAGAAGGAUCUAUGGUUCGUAAACUUCUUUUGCAGGGGAAUAAAGUGCAGGACGUGUCCUGUUUUGUAUGUACCCUGAGAAUAAGGAUCGGCUAACUCCGUGCCAGCCGCCGC